Molecule: ribosomal RNA, 465 nt
Filed under: uncultured bacterium
Lineage: Bacteria
Description: partial 16S ribosomal RNA
Rfam family: Bacterial small subunit ribosomal RNA
Source: RNAcentral
GACGAACGCUGGCGGCGUGCUUAACACAUGCAAGUCGAACGGAAAGGCCCUGCUUUUGUGGGGUGCUCGAGUGGCGAACGGGUGAGUAACACGUGAGUAACCUGCCCUUGACUUUGGGAUAACUUCAGGAAACUGGGGCUAAUACCGGAUAGGAGCUCCUGCUGCAUGGUGGGGGUUGGAAAGUUUCGGCGGUUGGGGAUGGACUCGCGGCUUAUCAGCUUGUUGGUGGGGUAGUGGCUUACCAAGGCUUUGACGGGUAGCCGGCCUGAGAGGGUGACCGGCCACAUUGGGACUGAGAUACGGCCCAGACUCCGACGGGAGGCAGCAGUGGGGAAUAUUGCACAAUGGGCGGAAGCCUGAUGCAGCAACGCCGCGGGCGGGAUGACGGCCUUCGGGUUGUAAACCGCUUUCGCCUGUGACGAAGCGUGAGUGACGGUAAUGGGUAAAGAAGCACCGGCUAACUAC